GACGAACCGUGCGAACGUUAUUCGGAAUCACUGGGCUUAAAGGGCGCGUAGGCGGGCCGCCCGGUCCGGGGUGAAAGCCUCCAGCUCAACUGGAGAAGUGCCUUGGAUACCGGCGGCCUCGAGGGAGGCAGGGGCGUGCGGAACUUCGGGUGGAGCGGUGAAAUGCGUAGAUAUCCGAAGGAACACCGGUGGCGAAAGCGGCGCGCUGGACCUCUUCUGACGCUGAGGCGCGAAAGCCAGGGGAGCAAACGGG
RNAcentral lists this ribosomal RNA (253 nucleotides) under uncultured bacterium. RNAcentral describes it as "partial 16S ribosomal RNA". It matches the Rfam family "Bacterial small subunit ribosomal RNA", at positions 524 to 776 of the family's 1533-position model. The record is from RNAcentral.